GCGAAACGACCGUUCCACUCAACGCCACGGCGUGCCGUACACAAAAAUCAACCAUGACGAUGUCGUUCCCGUCCUUGUCGACGACAAUGAGCGAAAGAACGAUCCUUCAUUUGUAAUCGUUACGACGAUGCCAACGAGAGGUGGAAAAACAGAGAGAGACUGAGGGAAAGAAAAGAACACGACACGAAAGAACUCCAAAGGCUUCUGCCUCUUUCUCUGCUGCGGGCGUCUACGAACGACGCCGACGGCAACAAACGGCAGCAGGCAGUAGGAGACGAUACCGAAACAAGGAAGGCGUCAACUAAAUAGAAGGGAUAACGAAAUUAAAAAGAUAGGGGUGUGCGGGAGGAACAAGCAAGAAAAAACUUCCAACGGCGUAGGAAACAGAAGCGAAGCAAGACGCACCGAGAAUUUAAGACGGCCUAGAAAUCCUCCAACAGUUUUGCUGGUCGUUGCCAUCCGGUUCGUUGAUCUAUGAAAGCACGAUCUAGUCAAAACCUCACCUCAACUAGGCGAAUACUUUGGAAAAGUGAAGUGUGGAUUUUGUCUACGAAGCAUGACGCGCCGAACGGUCAUUUUUUCUCCAGAUCCGUUGUAGCCUUUGUAAUGACGACGGCAGGAUUUACUUGCACUGGCAAGCAAAACAGAAAAGGAGCAGACGUCGAAAUUUACCCGCGGCUUUUCAAAACGUGAAAUUCUCACCCACCGCCCGAAACUCGUCCAAGGCUCUCUAAGCAUUACUACGGAAUGCAUCGACAAAGGUCUGAGGGGCGCGAACGAUUGCCCAUUCGCCGCUAAUCGAAUUCGUUGUUGACGGCGUAUCUAUAGUUCACCUACUGGUUUAUAUGACUUGUUCAUGCGAUCAAGAAAAUUUCAACGGAAUAAAACAAAGGAAAGCUUUUACGAAACAAACGGUCGGUGAUGGUGCUCGUGGUAACGAUGACGGCAACGAGCGUUCCUAUGAGGGAAAUUGUAGGUACCGUUAGCGAAAAUGGGCGUGAUUGUAGAUAAAAGGAUUUCUAUCCAUUACAUUUAGUGAGAACCAACCGGUACGAAGGAAAGUCCCCUUCUCAGGGCAAAAAGUAUAACGCGAAUAACUGUCACCUACGGCUGGCGCGUUCACGUUGACCGAAAUCAGGCAACUAAGUGUGUUUCUUUUAAAAAAAAUACAAGCAAAAUCUAGACGUGACGAAGGGAGAAGGUCGCUUGCUAAGGCCCUUAUCCUGCGGGAUGAGAAACUUGAGAUGGAAAACAUCUCUGCAAAAAAUAAUAGUCUCUAUUCAACAUCUAUAUAAA
Molecule: long non-coding RNA, 1296 nt
Filed under: Varroa destructor (honeybee mite)
Lineage: Eukaryota; Metazoa; Arthropoda; Arachnida; Mesostigmata; Varroidae
Description: uncharacterized LOC111244890, transcript variant X1
Source: RNAcentral